CGGCCGCCAGGCCGGUUCCUCAGCCGGUCGCCCUUGCGGCGGCCCGAUCCCCGAAGGGGUCGCACACCCCGUGCGAGCCUGCGACGUUCGGCC
Molecule: transfer RNA, 93 nt
Filed under: Nocardia wallacei
Lineage: Bacteria; Bacillati; Actinomycetota; Actinomycetes; Mycobacteriales; Nocardiaceae
Description: tRNA-Gln
Source: RNAcentral